UCCAUCGGUAGCCUCAAGGACAUGAGCCAGCGCUCUGCAGUGUGCAAUUGGUGGUAGGUGAUGACAGACUUCUUUGCCACCAGUUUCAAGAAACUACCAUCGCUGAAGAAGUACCACCACCUCAGGAUGACGUCUUCUAUGCCCGGGAAGGUGUAUGUUAAGGAAUGGGCAGCACACUCUUCUCAAACCUGGUGUCAUCUUUGACGAGAACGAGCUACCAUCAGUGAUACACCCAGCGGGUCUGUCCCUGCAGAGACAAUGGUACAAAAUCCGGGAGUUUUGUCCACUCCCAUCUCAUCCUCGACCGUUCAGCAGACAGAAGACAGAACACCCCCCAACGUCCAACGUGAAAUCAGUCCCACUCCCACUCCACCAUCGUCCCCGUUGUCACCUGCUCCACCUCCACCUAAGAGGCAGCGUGUAUGCGGAAUUUGCAGGACAGUGGGAUAUGACAAGAGGAACUGUCCCUCGAAUUGAACUCUCACAGCUCUCACAACCCUUUAAACCUUUUUUUUUUAGUUCUUCUAAGAACUGCCAACAAACAAAAGAAUUUGCUGUGUACAACAGAAGGGGUGCGUACAUGUGCGUACAUUUAAUAGCCUCACCUACAACAUUAUCGAAGGGGUGCGUAAAAUUAAAUACACGCAGUCUUAUACUGAUGAGGCAUCAAGCAAACUUACCCUUACAUGAUGAGCAUGAUGGAUUCAGAUGAUGGAUUCAGAGUGUUCUAAAUUCAUACAAGAUAAUUUUUUUUUAAAAGUACGCUUAUGAUGUAUUGCUCCCCUUCUAUUAUGAUCAUUUUAUACUAGACGUACUGGACUAGAUCUACUAAUAUAAAGGCAGCUAGCCAUAAUCUCAGUAGUAAACACACCGAAUAUACGCCAUGACAACGUUGCGGGGACACCCUCACAGCCAUAUUAAUUUUCAAAAAAUGCACAAAAUUUAUUAGUCCGUAGAAAACAGUGCGUAACUCGAAAGCGCUUCGACUUUUGAUAGUACAAGUUAGGCUAGGAACAGUCAAAGAUCACUAUCUCUGCAGCGGUAAGUAGCAGUUGCGUAUAAUACUGCUUUGUUACAUGGCUCUUUAGAUUCGCUAGAAGCUUUAAUACUCAUUGUAGUAAGUAUAUAGGACGUAGCUGUAGAGUUUGUAGUGCUGAGAAGCACCCUUUUUUUUGUGCAAGUACCUAGUCAAGUACACUAGGUACUAGGUGUGGCUGAUCACCAGAUGCAGCCUCGUGUAGUCUUAAAGAACAAAGAACAGGUAUGUUUGUACAUAUCAUCAUACUAUCAUCAUUACGUGUUACCAAGAGAUGCUCUUGUUGUUGGAUGUGCCAGGUUGGUUUGUGUAUAAUAGUUGCAUGAUGUACUUAUGUGUGUAGUACUUAUGUGUGUAGUACUUACAAUCAGAUCUCACCUCACCUGAUCAUCAAGAUCUCACCUCACCUGAUCCAAGAUCUCAAGGAACCGGCUCAUCGGAAGUCUAUUCAGAGGAAGAUUCAACAAUGGAACAGCAAGUUAACAAGGUAUCACUGACGAUCCGAGUUUGAGUCCGAACACUAUACAAGGUACACCCUCACGAUUUAAAGUUUUAAAGUUCCUCAACAAAGUUAUCCUACAACAACUUUGGUAAUUACCAAACUGAGGUGAUUCAUACUCUAUAAUUUAUAGUUCAUAAUAAUUAAUAUUCCGUAGUCCAUUGAUCCGUAGUCCAUUGAUCCCAUGGUGGGAGUUCACUGACACCUGCACAUCACACAUCACUGACACCAAAGCCCAUUGUCCUACAACAAUGGCUUUGGUUACCAAACUGAGGUGAUCCAUAUUAUAUAGUUCAUAAUUAAGUCCACUGAUCCAUACUCCCCACUGAUCCAUACUCCUCCAAUGAUGCUGUGGGGUCUGUGGGGUCUGUGGGGUCGCUGGGGUGACACCUGCUGGAUUUGGUUCACCAGUUUAACCGAUUAGCUGCGGUUGACGCAAAUUUGCGUCAUUAAGGAAUAAGCUGUUAGCCGCGGAUGACGCAUAUUUGCAUCAACCGCACAUUACUCUACUCUUAUUUAAUUUGUGGUAAGCUACAACCUUCCUGAGCUCCACAUCUUUGCAAGGCUUCUCUCGAAGGUCAACAGAAGCCAUACCAAGUCCGAUCGCCAUAGGUCACCAAUCAAAAAUUUGCUUAAAAUUUCGUGUGAAAUUUGUAUUUAUAUAAAUUCAAUAUCAAUCUCAAAAGUGAACAUACAUUAUAAUAAAUACAAUUACAAUUAAUUCUAUGGUAUAAAUAACGUUUCUCUCUCAGAGUCUGGCAUGACACAAUUGCAAGUUAUUGCAAAUGAGGCCAAAAACUAGCCCUCAACCUUUUAUCGCUAUUUUUUAAAAAUGAUAUUCUGUUACUAUAAUAUUGUAACAUUGAAAAUAUUGUAACAUUGAACUUGUUCUAGAGUAGUAAGGUAUAUAUCAGCAGCUAAAGGGUCCACAUUCAUCACUAGAUCCUCAAGCGUUGGUAUUGGAGACAACAUCUUCAUCAGCAUCAGCUGGGAUCGGUCCAUCCCCAUAUGUACGGGUGCACAAGAGCAUAAAUCUCCAAAAAAUUUUUUAGGGUACUCACCUUUGACCUGUUAUAACUCGCAAACCGUAACUAGCAAAAAAAAUAUUCAAAUUGUUCUAAAUAACCAGCAUCAAGUUUUUAGUGGUUGCUAUGAAAAAUUGAAAAUGCUAAGCUUUUUUUCUAAAUCAAGCAUAAAUCAAGCACACAGAAUUUUGUUAGAGAAGUCUCUGUAGCUAUUACAAGAUGCCUAAAACUAAGAGAAAGAUCCAUCUAGAGCAAGCAAGGGAAGCUAAGAAAGUCAAGUUGUCCCGCCACUAUCCCGCCAGAGCCAACCAUACCCGUACCACCAGCUUCUUCCAACUCAACUGAAACUCAGCCUCUCCUUGAUGAUGAAAAAGAUUAUGUUUGUCUCGAGAUAAUUUGAUGUCUUGAGACUUGUAUUAAAUGGUGUCAAGCAGACAGAUGCCGCUAAUCAAAUUGCGAACCUCAUUUUAACUCAUUUUAAGGAACGAAAGAACUGUGGAAGUAUUCUUUUUUCCAUGAUUCCCAUGAUUCCCAGCAAGGCAAGUAUCAACGUCAAGGAGUCUUUUGGCAAAAUGAAGACCUAAACAAAUCUGCAAGUAAAUUUGUUCGAGAAAAUGCCUGUUUAAAGGGAAAUCAAAUUUAACUGCCGCAAUAUUUUGUCCUUACUCCUGGCUAUCCGAGAGAGUGGCUAUCCGAGAGAGAUAAGUGCUCGUUGGUCUUAGACCAGAAAAAGGGUGUUUAUAUCGACGGCCAUGAAAGAGAGAUGUUAUACAGCAUCGAACAAAGUUCCUCUGCCAGCUUAUUGUUGGAGGAUGUUGGCCGAGUUGGCACCAAACGUUGAAGCUAAAGAGGCUGAUAUUGACCUGUUUAGACGGCAAAAAAAUAUCUUUAUAUUCCAUGACGAGUCAACUACAAUGGGGUACUCCUGAAAGUCAAGUUAUUCGCAAAGCGGCAUAAUGGUGUCCGAUUCCGAUUUCGUACUUGAACACGACGGAGGCAGAGUAUGAUGCAGCUAAGGUGAAUGAUCCAAACAUUACAAUGGGAGCGAGAACGAAUAUGGCGAAUCACGUGACGGAUAAGUAUCCCAAAUCAGAUUGCCAUAAUUAUGAUGGCCUUUGACGAGGAUUCUCUAAACGUGAAUCGCAUGAACGGCGAUGAACGCUGGUUCUGUACCUUGCAUGCAUAACACCACUUACAAAGGAAAGACGACGUACAUGACCAAAGAGGUCGGUUGUUUGGUCAGAAUACCCAGAGGUUUAACCGAUUAUUAUACGCCGCAUUGUUACGUCAGGGUUAGGGUUACACCCCCCACGGCCAUAUUAAUUUUUAAAAAAUGCAAAAUUAGUUAGUUCUUAGAAAACUGCUUGUAACUCGAAAGCGCUUCGACUUUUGAUUGUGCAAGUUAGGCUAGGAAGAUAUACCAGUCAAAGAUCUACAAGCUCGAAGGAUUGGCUGUGAUCUGCGCGCUACACAAGGUACUGGGUGUGGCUUAUAACCAGAGGCAGCUAUGUGUAAAAAGAAGCACUGGUAGUGGCAAAAAGGUGUGGCUGGAUCCAAUAAUCAGAGAUGGGGCCACGUAUGUACAGUGAACGUGAACAGAGGAACAGUGGCAGUAGCAGCGAGGUAAAAGUGUCUGUGUCUGCUGUCCGUGUGUGUCUGCUGUCCGUGAGUACUUGCUGUCACUGCCCAGUGCCCCUUCGCCUCUGUCAAGGGUAGAAUACAUGGAAGGUUGACGUUCGUGGUAGGACUGUCACAACAGUGGUCAGCAGUAUUCCUCAGUGUCAUGUCCUGUCCAGAUCUACAUUUUUGCUAAUAAUUAUUGUUGUAAUUAUUGUUGCAUUGAGUGAAGCUAUUUUAUUUGUUGGUUGGACUGUCCAGCUCCUCUCUAAACUGUUAUUGAUCAGAAAAUUCAUCAUCACUGCCCUCCGUGACUGGUCUAUUUCGCUGUACUCAGCUGUUUGUCAAUCUCUGCAGGUCCAGAAUUUCUUACAGCACCUCCUCACUGGUCUAGUGUGGCCUCUUGGCCGCUCUAUAUAAUUUUUUGAAAGUGUUUGUUUAUGCCAAUGAUUAAUAUUUAAUUUGUAAAGCAGCUGCUUGCAAAAAUAUUUUCUACAUAG
This is a long non-coding RNA of Halichondria panicea, 4677 nucleotides long. RefSeq lists it as uncharacterized. The transcript has 6 exons. NCBI's taxonomy places the organism in Eukaryota, Metazoa, Porifera, Demospongiae, Suberitida, Halichondriidae. The record is from RefSeq and is a predicted model, not a curated record.